GGAGGCAAGGAGAAUUUGAUCAAGGCGGUGGCCCAAGCCAUCCCAACUUAUGCGAUGAGUGUAUUCAAAUUCCCAAAGAAAAUUUUCAAGGGAAUCACUAAUGCCAUUUCAUAUUAUUGGUGGAGUGACGAGAAAAACCAACGUAAAAUGCAUUGGUUUGCAUGGUGGAAGAUAUGUGUCCCAAAGGAGAGAGGUGGUAUGUGUUUCUAUGAUGUGAGUAGAUUUAACCUGGCAAUGCUUGCGAAACAAUGUUGGAGGUUAAUUAAGAAUUAUGAGUCAUUAUGUGCCAGGGUUCUCCGUCAAACUAUUAUACUCUAG
This 318-nucleotide ribosomal RNA is filed under the name Triticum aestivum (bread wheat). RNAcentral's name for it is "partial small subunit ribosomal RNA". Lineage: Eukaryota; Viridiplantae; Streptophyta; Magnoliopsida; Poales; Poaceae. The record is from RNAcentral.